RNAcentral lists this microRNA precursor (67 nucleotides) under Bombyx mori (domestic silkworm). RNAcentral's name for it is "mir-2774 microRNA precursor family". It matches the Rfam family "mir-2774 microRNA precursor family". The record is from Rfam by way of RNAcentral. Lineage: Eukaryota; Metazoa; Arthropoda; Insecta; Lepidoptera; Bombycidae.
AACACAUUCGGCCCGUCGAUCUACCAAGCAAUAUCACCCGAUCGGUGGAAGAUCUUCCCUCAGUCGU